AAGUCGUAACAAGGUUUCCGUAGGUGAACCUGCGGAAGGAUCAUUACUGAAGUGAGUCUUCAUUCAUUGAAGCUUCUUCCCAUUGUGCUGGCUUUGACCGUAUGUUAUGUUGGGGAUUAAACAUGGUUAAGGAAAGAUUUAUUUUUUUCUUGGCCGUCCCCAACAAUUAUCUUAUCCUUUAUUAAAAUUGAACUGAACUCAUUUUGAGAUUACAUAAAAAAAUAAUCUUAUAAUACAACUUUCAACAACGGAUCUCUUGGUUCUC
This 265-nucleotide unclassified non-coding RNA is filed under the name Umbelopsis sp. Its description in RNAcentral is "partial contains small subunit ribosomal RNA, internal transcribed spacer 1, and 5.8S ribosomal RNA". The stretch from base 1 to 46 matches the Rfam family "Eukaryotic small subunit ribosomal RNA", at positions 1786 to 1831 of the family's 1831-position model. The record is from RNAcentral. Lineage: Eukaryota; Fungi; Mucoromycota; Umbelopsidomycetes; Umbelopsidales; Umbelopsidaceae.